AACGAACGCUGGCGGCAGGCCUAACACAUGCAAGUCGAACGCUUCAGCAAUGGAGAGUGGCAGACGGGUGAGUAACGCGUGGGAACCUUCCCAGUGGUACGGAAUAGCCCAGGGAAACUUGGGGUAAUACCGUAUAAGCCCCUAGGGGGAAAGAUUUAUCGCCAUUGGAUGGGCCCGCGUCGGAUUAGCUUGUUGGUGGGUAAAAGCCUACCAAGGCGACGAUCCGUAGCUGGUCUGAGAGGAUGAUCAGCCACACUGGGACUGAGACACGGCCCAGACUCCUACGGGAGGCAGCAGUGGGGAAUAUUGGACAAUGGGCGCAAGCCUGAUCCAGCCAUGCCGCGUGAGUGACGAAGGCCCUAGGGUUGUAAAGCUCUUUUGGCGGGGACGAUAAUGACGGUACCCGCAGAAUAAGCUCCGGCUAACUUCGUG
Molecule: ribosomal RNA, 432 nt
Filed under: uncultured bacterium
Lineage: Bacteria
Description: bacterial SSU rRNA
Rfam family: Bacterial small subunit ribosomal RNA
Source: RNAcentral